CUCGAUCUCAAAUCAAGUAAGACUACCCGCUGAACUUAAGCAUAUCAAUAAGCGGAGGAAAAGAAACUAACAAGGAUCCCCUCAGUAACGGCGAGUGAAGCGGGGUGAGCUCAAAUUUAAAAUCUGGUCGGUUUCCGAUCCGAGUUGUAGUUUAUAGAAGCGUUUUCGGUGGCAGCCUGGGUACAAAUCCUUUGGAACAGGGUAUCAUAGAGGGUGAGAAUCCCGUCUCUGACUCAGUGCAUGCUACUAUGUGAUACGUUUUCAAAGAGUCGAGUUGUUUGGGAAUGCAGCUCAAAAUGGGUGGUAAAUUUCAUCUAAGGCUAAAUACAGGCGAGAGACCGAUAGCGAACAAGUACCGUGAGGGAAAGAUGAAAAGAACUUUGAAAAGAGAGUUAAACAGUGCGUGAAAUUGUUGAAAGGGAAACGUUUGACACCAGUCAUGCGAAUGGGAAAUCAGUCUUUAACUAUUGGGGAGAGGCAUGGAUGUUGGACCGCAAGGCCAUGCUGUGUCUGAUCUCUGGUAGUUGGGAUGCACUUUUGCAUUUGCAGGUCAACAUCAGUUUUUUCUGCUGGACAAAACUCCAAGGGAAUGUGGCAGCUUUGGCUGUGUUAUAGCUCUGGAGCGAUACAGUGGGGAAGACUGAGGUCUUUGCAGCGCGUGCUCUCGGGCAAGGUCGACUGGGUGCUAUGAGGAAGUUCGGUGUACAAUGCAUGCAUUUUGCGUCGUGUCUUUUUUGUACUCGCUCAGCUCGAUU
RNAcentral lists this ribosomal RNA (755 nucleotides) under Mortierella rostafinskii. RNAcentral describes it as "eukaryotic LSU rRNA". It matches the Rfam family "Eukaryotic large subunit ribosomal RNA", at positions 1 to 608 of the family's 3401-position model. Lineage: Eukaryota; Fungi; Mortierellomycota; Mortierellomycetes; Mortierellales; Mortierellaceae. The record is from RNAcentral.